This 402-nucleotide ribosomal RNA is filed under the name uncultured bacterium. RNAcentral describes it as "bacterial SSU rRNA". It matches the Rfam family "Bacterial small subunit ribosomal RNA", at positions 355 to 774 of the family's 1533-position model. The record is from RNAcentral.
UGGGGAAUAUUGCACAAUGGGGGAAACCCUGAUGCAGCGACGCCGCGUGAAGGAAGAAGUAUUUCGGUAUGUAAACUUCUAUCAGCAGGGAAGAAAAUGACGGUACCUGACUAAGAAGCCCCGGCUAACUACGUGCCAGCAGCCGCGGUAAUACGUAGGGGGCAAGCGUUAUCCGGAUUUACUGGGUGUAAAGGGAGCGUAGACGGAGGAGCAAGUCCGAUGUGAAACUCCGGGGCUUAACCCCGGAACUGCAUUGGAAACUGUUUAUCUGGAGUGCCGGAGGGGUAAGCGGAAUUCCUGGUGUAGCGGUGAAAUGCGUAGAUAUCAGGAGGAACACCGGUGGCGAAGGCGGCUUACUGGACGGUAACUGACGUUGAGGCUCGAAAGCGUGGGGAGCAAACA